This 2827-nucleotide long non-coding RNA is filed under the name Pan paniscus (pygmy chimpanzee). RNAcentral describes it as "lncRNA (ENSPPAG00000044148.1)". Lineage: Eukaryota; Metazoa; Chordata; Mammalia; Primates; Hominidae. The record is from RNAcentral.
AUGAAAAUUCCCCCAAAUGAGUCCUUCUCCGAGGGGGUGGAGGUCACACAGCUGGCACAACUGGUAUCACAACCAACUCGAGGCGACCCAGAGGAAGAUGCUGCGCCAAGAGAAGCAAAGCGAAGGAGCGCGACCCAGGAGGCUAGCGAAAUCCCCGCCAAGCCCCCAGGAGGCGGAGAGAAGCCCAGUCGCCAGGCACCGGCCACGGCGCACGCCAACAUUCAGGAUAAUUCUCCUUUCCAAGCCCGGGAGUUCCGGGGCAGGCGAAAAAGGGGGGAUGGGAGACCCACAGUCCCUUUAACCCUCCCCCCUGGCCUGCCAACCUUUUCCGAACCCCCAUGUCACACAACUUCCUCAUCAUGGAAACUUCCACUGGGUUCGGCGCUGAGGAUGCCAAACUCCAUUUCACAAGGAACAUGUCAACAGCUGGGCUUGGGGUUUGAGGAACAGAGUCGCUGCGAUUGGAACAGAGCCCGGCCACCCUGUUCCACCACUGUCCACUCCGUAGCUCCCAGCCUGCCGCCGCGCGGUGCCCGAACACGAGAGGGCACCUCCUCCCAGAUCCGGGGCGCAGAAGCCCCGCGGAGGCAGGGAAGUUCCUGGGCUUUGCUCCAAAGCUGCCCCGGAAUGUUUUGGUUGGUUUGGAGAAAAGCUGUGGCGUCUACACCACUUGUUCCAAGCAGGCGGCCCCCUGGUGGCUAACUGGGGGUGAGAAAGCUGGCCACUGAGGAAGAAGUCUGGCGCAGGUAGAAGAUUCUGAGGCCCUGGGCGGGAACUAGUAAGCCACAAUCUGGAAGAGUCUUUUAUCACCAUGUGGAGGAGAACUAGAGCACUCAUGUUGAACUAUUACCGAGAAAAGUAAUCAACUUCUUUUGUGUUAAGUCACUGAAAGGCAAGUGUUAAUUUGUUGCAGUAAUUGGUGCUCCCUUAACACACCUGUCAGCCAGGCCAAACUCUAUCACAGCAUAAAUAAUCUUUUCCUUAAAUAAAUACAGGUAAAAGAAUAAAAUAGACCUAAGUGCAUUAAUAUGAAUAUAGGCUCAAAGCAAAAUGUUGGGCUAUAAAUGUUCAGAGUGAUAAUUUUUUAAGUUGAUGUGUAAUUUAGUACAGUAAAAUAGAUAAAACCUAAAUGUUCAGUUCAAUGAAUUUUUACAUGUUCAUACCCCUGUAUAAUCACCUCCCAGAACAACAUAGAAAAUACUUCAUAUAAAUGGAAUCAUACAGUGUGUUUUCUCUUGUGUCUGGUUUCUUUCACUCAAUGUUUUUGAGGUGAAUCCACAUUAUUGUGUGGAUUAGAACGCUGUUCUCUUAAAAUUUCUGUUUGACAUUACGUUAUAUGAAUAUGCCACAAUUUGUUUAUUCAUUCUCCAAUUGAUGGACAUUUGGGUUGUUUCCAAUUUGGGACUAUGACAAAUGAAGCAGCUAUGAACAUUCUUGAACACUUAUUUUUGUGGUACAUGCACUCAUAUCUCCUGGGCAUAUGCAUAGGAGUGAAAUUGAUGGUCAUAUAUUUAUCUGAGUUAUUCUAUUAAAGCUCUGUGAGGUACUAGCACAAUUACGAACAACUAGAAAAUGGUCAGUUACCACUUGCUGACUUCUGUUCAUUCUUACAGUUUUCACAAAUAAAAUAGUCAAAGUUAUAUGGAGUCUAACUUGAGUGAGUAAAUAUUCUUCAGUAUCACAAAUAGAAAAUCCUCAAAAUGAUCAAUAUUCAAAACUACCGUUGCCUUAUGUAGCAAUUACAAGCUCUGCUUGCAGCUGCAAAUCAUUUUUAUGAACUAAGCUACAUAUUAAAGCCCAUGUAAAAAUGAAGAUGCUGAUAAAUUAAAGUAUAUCAAGAAAAAGGUGAAUGGCUGAAAGGAAGGUAAGAAUACCAAAACAUUUCCAGAUUAAAUCUUACUUUUCAGCUGUUUGAAAGAUAGGUUUAAGACAUGCUGAGUAAUUGCUAAUUGGACUGUAAUAACCUAUGUUCACUGUGAGUGCACAGAAGUACAGUAUAUUGUUAAAUUCUUUGUCAAUCACAAAAGAAAUCUAGUGGUUCAAGACACAUCUUCCCAAAACAUGCCAAUUAAGUGUCCUUCCUUUUUGAGUUAUGCUUAUAUGCAUCAAAAAUGGAAAUGUAAUUGUUAAAAAUUUGGGGAAAAUAUCCUUUUUUAAAGGAAGGGAAUGAGGUAAAUCUUACUCAUUUUCAUGGAAUAAACUUUAAUAUAUCUAGAUAUAACAACACAUAUAAUAAAAUGCUAUGAUUAUGGGCUAUUUUCAGAUCCUUAAAAUCCCUGAAUGAGUCAUAUGUGAAGUGACAGUCAUAACUUCAGAUUUGCUUGCCUUUGUCAGUUAUUUUAAAUGAAAUUCUCAAUUUGAGGGCAAGAUGGGUCUUAGUGACACCUCCUAUUUUCAUAUAUUAUAGCUCUCUUUCACAAAUAAACUUGCCUUAUCCUGUUUACAAAGUAUUGCGUAAAAUGCUAGUCAUAACUCCUACAAACACAACUGUAGAACAUAUUUUGAACUUCUAUAAAUGAUACAUUUGAGGCAAACAAAUCUACAGCUAGUACAAGAAAGGAUUGAGUUUUCAUUAUGCAGAUUUAGAACAAAACCCUGCAAUGUAGUUCAUGCCAGAUAAUGAAUAAAAAUAAUUUGAGUUCCAGGUUUGUGUCCUUUCUAAUCAUGUGAUUUGAGCAUGUUACUUAGCUUCUCUAAGCCUCAGUUUCCACAACUGUAGAAAUGAAGAAAACCAUUGUACCUACCUGAUAGGGACGGUAUGAGGAAUCUGUGGUAAUAGAUGGAUAAUGCUACACACGGUGCCUGGCACACAGUAGCUGGCUCAUUA